AUUGAACGCUGGCGGCAUGCCUUACACAUGCAAGUCGAACGGCAGCACGGGAGCAAUCCUGGUGGCGAGUGGCGAACGGGUGAGUAAUAUAUCGGAACGUGCCCAGUCGUGGGGGAUAACGCAGCGAAAGCUGUGCUAAUACCGCAUACGAUCUACGGAUGAAAGCGGGGGAUCGCAAGACCUCGCGCGAUUGGAGCGGCCGAUAUCAGAUUAGCUAGUUGGUGGGGUAAAGGCCCACCAAGGCGACGAUCUGUAGCUGGUCUGAGAGGACGACCAGCCACACUGGAACUGAGACACGGUCCAGACUCCUACGGGAGGCAGCAGUGGGGAAUUUUGGACAAUGGGCGAAAGCCUGAUCCAGCAAUGCCGCGUGCAGGACGAAGGCCUUCGGGUUGUAAACUGCUUUUGUACGGAACGAAACGGUCUCUUCUAAUAAAGGGGGCUAAUGACGGUACCGUAAGAAUAAGCACCGGCUAACUACGUGCCAGCCGCCGCAGUAA
This 500-nucleotide ribosomal RNA is filed under the name uncultured bacterium. RNAcentral's name for it is "partial 16S ribosomal RNA". It matches the Rfam family "Bacterial small subunit ribosomal RNA", at positions 30 to 523 of the family's 1533-position model. The record is from RNAcentral.